CCUUGUCAAUUAAGCGAGAAUCAAUCUGGUUUGUGUUUCGUGGUGGUCGUCUCUCACCCUCAUCUUCGCUCAUCCAUUUUUUUGGUUGCGCGCACGCCUUGGGUUUCGGACAUUCCAAGAUACUUUUUCGC
Non-coding RNA from Caenorhabditis elegans, 131 nucleotides. The record is from Ensembl. Lineage: Eukaryota; Metazoa; Nematoda; Chromadorea; Rhabditida; Rhabditidae.